This 85-nucleotide transfer RNA is filed under the name Felis catus (domestic cat). It matches the Rfam family "tRNA". Rfam says of the family: Transfer RNA (tRNA) molecules are approximately 80 nucleotides in length. Their secondary structure includes four short double-helical elements and three loops (D, anti-codon, and T loops). The record is from Rfam by way of RNAcentral. Lineage: Eukaryota; Metazoa; Chordata; Mammalia; Carnivora; Felidae.
GCCUGGGUGGCUCAGUCGGUUAAGCCUCUGACUUCAGCUCAGGUCACUAUCUCACAGCUCGUGGGUUCAAGCCCCGCGUCGGGCU